This is a non-coding RNA of Erinaceus europaeus (western European hedgehog), 316 nucleotides long. The record is from Rfam. Lineage: Eukaryota; Metazoa; Chordata; Mammalia; Eulipotyphla; Erinaceidae.
GGCUAUAAGGGCAAUCUGGCUGUGACAUCUGUCACCCCAUAGAUUUCUAGGGUUGAUUUGGCUGAUCUGGCUAGCUAGGUGGGUUUCCCUUUGCUCCCUCACCUCUCAAUGUGUAUCCCUCUUGAAGCUGAAUGAUCAGUUGAAGAAGAAGGCCUACUGCAAACAGAGAUGGACCAGUCUUUGCUCAAGGGUAUAUAAGUAGCCACACUUCCUUGCUAGAACCCCCAAACAACCUCUCAACAUUGCCUUAACUGUUUUUGCUCUAGCAAUUAGAAAGUUUUACAUCUGGUUUUGACCUUACAUGAUUCCACUGACU